Molecule: ribosomal RNA, 253 nt
Filed under: uncultured bacterium
Lineage: Bacteria
Description: partial 16S ribosomal RNA
Rfam family: Bacterial small subunit ribosomal RNA
Source: RNAcentral
UACAGAGGGUGCGAGCGUUGUCCGGAAUUACUGGGCGUAAAGGGCGCGUAGGCGGCUCAGUAAGGCUGCGGUGAAAGCCCGGGGCUCAACCCCGGGUCGGCCGUGGCAACUGCUGGGCUGGAGCACUGUAGAGGCAGGUGGAAUUCCGGGUGUAGCGGUGGAAUGCGUAGAGAUCAUGAGGAAGACCAGUGGCGAAGGCGGGUCUCUGGACAGUUCCUGACGCUGAGGCACGAAGGUCAGGGGAGCAAACGGG